UACAUUGAUGGAAGCGUCAUCACGAUUUCACAUAAUACUGUAUAUUGAGUAUUUCCCGAUUCAACGUUCACAAUGGACUCCGCUUAUGACAAAACCGACUUCCAUUCAACAAUUGAUGUGCAGUGUCCAGAUUGUCAACAUCCCGGCCGUGAGAGGCGGUAGAGCAGGAAGGAAGGUCUAUCAAUCAGGGCCGCGGUAAACAGGAUGGCACAGGAGCAGACCACCUGCCACC
Molecule: long non-coding RNA, 232 nt
Organism: Homarus americanus (American lobster)
Lineage: Eukaryota; Metazoa; Arthropoda; Malacostraca; Decapoda; Nephropidae
Exons: 3
Source: RefSeq, a predicted model, not a curated record